This 389-nucleotide ribosomal RNA is filed under the name uncultured Bacillus sp. RNAcentral's name for it is "bacterial LSU rRNA". It matches the Rfam family "Bacterial large subunit ribosomal RNA", at positions 1802 to 2243 of the family's 2925-position model. The record is from RNAcentral. Lineage: Bacteria; Bacillati; Bacillota; Bacilli; Caryophanales; Bacillaceae.
UAUUAAAAAACAACAGCACUCUGCAAACAACGAAAGUAGGACGUAUAGGGUGUGAUGCCUGCCCGGUGCUGGAAGGUUAAUUGAUGGGGUUAGGCGUAAGCGAAGCUCUUGAUCGAAGCCCCAGUAAACGGCGGCCGUAACAAUAACGGUCCUAAGGUAGCGAAAUUCCUUGUCGGGUAAGUUCUGACCCGCACGAAAGGCGUAACGAUUUGGGCACUGUCUCAACGAGAGGCUCGGUGAAAUCAUAGUACCUGUGAAGAUGCAGGUUACCCGCGACAGGACGGAAAGACCCCGUGGAGCUUUACUGUAAUUUGAUAUUGAAUCUCAACCACACCAGGGUGGUAUCCCACCAUUGCCUCCACAUAGACUAACGUCCAUGCUUCAUCGGC